Acanthopagrus latus (yellowfin seabream) is the source of this 1051-nucleotide long non-coding RNA. RefSeq lists it as uncharacterized. Lineage: Eukaryota; Metazoa; Chordata; Actinopteri; Spariformes; Sparidae. The transcript has 4 exons. The record is from RefSeq and is a predicted model, not a curated record.
UAAAUCAUAUUUUAUAUUGAAAUAAGGCAGAAAACAGUCAAUGGAAUGGCAACACCCUUGAGUCUCCCUCUCCUACAGACAUUCUGAAGACACUUGAGUUGUAAGAAAUACAAUUCUGGAGUAUUUUCUCUUUUAAAAUCACAUUCAGCACGAGAGAGACAUGAAGAGGGGCCUCAUGACUAGUAUAUUGAUGACUUAUUUGAAUACAAGUCGUGCACCCUGCCAUGCAGCUACAUUCGUCUAACUGAAGCACCAGGAGCUUUGAGUGAACCCAGCUGGUUAAGUGAUGAGAGGGACGUAACGCAACAUCUCAGACCAAUAACGGGGAAUAGAGCACCAAGAUGGAUCUCUUGCUGGGUUUGGCUCCUGCCACCCAGGGCUUAAUGUCAGUCAACUAAUAGGAGUGCUAAUGUAAGCUGCACGGCUAAAAGAGGAAUUGAUAACUUCUAACAGCUCCUUCCAAGUGCCAGAUGGAGACGAUAAGACAGGAGGAGGAGCCCCUCAGGGACAGUGAAGAAGAGCCAGUACCAAGAGCCAGCCAGGAGAUCAUAACUCCAGAGUGGGCUGCGCAGUUAAUGCCUACAGUGAAAUGGUACAUACUAUAGUAUGUUGCAGAUAGUUGGUCUGAAAAGAGAGAAACAGGUAGGAAGUCUGGCAGUCUGACAAUUUUAAGCAGAACUGCACUGUUGUGAUAAUGAGAUAAACUAUCCCAAAGUAAGACAGGAGGCUACGGUCCACAUUCAGGGACCUGAAACCAGAAGAGCGCUAUCCAAAGCAGCUCUUCCUGGGCCGGGCUGAGUUGAUGGAGUGCUUGAAGAAGGCAUCAUCUUCCAGAGUGGCUCAGGAUUUCAUCAAUUGGAGGGCCAUGCCAGGGACUUUGCAUGCAGAUGGCAUCAGACUGAAAAUAAAGAUCAAAGACAAGAGAAAUCCCAUUUGUUCCACUCCCUAUGUAAUGCCAAGGCUUUAGGAGAAUCUGCCUGCUCGAUUUCUGGGCUCAGAAAGAGGAGCUGAAUGUGAGAUGUGGCUGGCACAGAUGGCAGCACCUGAUAUC